AACACAUGGGGUGCUGGGAGGAUGCUGUGCCCAGAGAAGAUGUGGAAGUCCCAGGGGCUCCCCUCCCCCUGACAUUGUCCUAUGCAUCUCUUCCAUUUGGCUGUUCCUGAGAUACAUACUUUGUAAUAAACUGGAGGACCUCCUCCCCAACAGUUAAAAGUUUCGGUCUCCUGGAUCUGCAUUGCAGGACUCAUAGAAAUCUGUGGCUUCCAAUCAAGAGUUUGCAACCCGAAAGACAGAAGACUCAAAGCUUUUAGGCAUCAUCUUCUAAGGUCAUCUUGACAGCCCUUGUACAUCUACCGUAUUUCCAACAGAAUUCUGUGAUUGGUAACUUGUAUGUUGUGCAAGUACUUCAUGAAUUAUUAUAAUUAUUAAAACUGAUCUUUGUCUUGGGCAAACCAAGCCUCAAUGUGCCUCUCAUGCCCACAGGCCCUUUUUUUUUCUUCUUCUUCUCCCCAGAGGCCCCCAGUACAUAGUUGUAUAUUCUAGUUGUAGGUCCUUCUAGUUGAGCUAUGUGGGAUGCCUCCUCAGCAUGGCUUGAUGAGCGGUCCUGGGUCUGUGCCCAGGAUCCCAAUGCAUGAGACCCUGGGCUACCAAAGUGGAGUGCAUGAACUUAACCACUCAGCCAAGUGGCCAGCCCCCUACAGGCCCUUUGAAGGUGAACUUGCCCAUCAUUCUUUGUUGCAAAGAAUAUUAGAGCAG
Molecule: long non-coding RNA, 702 nt
Filed under: Equus asinus (donkey)
Lineage: Eukaryota; Metazoa; Chordata; Mammalia; Perissodactyla; Equidae
Description: lncRNA (ENSEASG00005037861.1)
Source: RNAcentral